GAUGAACGCUGGCGGCGUGCUUAACACAUGCCAGUCGAACGGAAAGGCUCCUGCUUGCAGGGGUACUCGAGUGGCGAACGGGUGAGUAACACGUGGGUGAUCUGCCCUGCACUUCGGGAUAAGCCUGGGAAACUGGGUCUAAUACCGGAUAGGACGAUGGUUUGGGUACCAUUGUGGAAAGUUUUUCGGUGUGGGAUGAGCUCGCGGCCUAUCAGCUUGUUGGUGGGGUAAUGGCCUACCAAGGCGUCGACGGGUAGCCGGCCUGAGAGGGUGUACGGCCACAUUGGGACUGAGAUACGGCCCAGACUCCUACGGGAGGCAGCAGUGGGGAAUAUUGCACAAUGGGCGCAAGCCUGAUGCAGCGACGCCGCGUGGGGGAUGACGGCCUUCGGGUUGUAAACUCCUUUCGCUAGGGACGAAGCGCAAGUGACGGUACCUGGAGAAGAAGCACCGGCUAACUACGUG
This 465-nucleotide ribosomal RNA is filed under the name uncultured bacterium. Its description in RNAcentral is "partial 16S ribosomal RNA". It matches the Rfam family "Bacterial small subunit ribosomal RNA", at positions 28 to 507 of the family's 1533-position model. The record is from RNAcentral.